AAGGAGGGUCAGAAGAUCAGAAAACAUGAAGAGAGCUGUGACACUUGCUGGGCUGAGCCUGCUGUGGAAGAAUAAAGACUGUUCUCCAACUUUUCUGUGCCGCUUGGUUGUUUCCCUUAUCAAGAGCUGUACAUUGCCGUGACACUUCGGCAACUGAAAGAUGGUGAGAAAUGGUACUCUGUUUGCCAAUUAGGUGUUGUCUGAGCCACCAGACUGGUCAAUCUGCCCAAGGGCUACUAGAGUACAGGGAGAAUCAGCAUGGCAGAGAGGGACCAAGUCAUCCCCGGGGUGCACAAGGUGGUGCUCGCCUGUGCCCUCAGCCUCCAGAGUGGAGGCCACAGGGGGCAUUAUUAGAGACCUGGUCAACCGACAGCUCCUGCCCGCCCCGGCUAAUGUUGCAGGAAACUGUCAUCCCUACUAGCGACCGGCCAGAAGUGGUUGCCACGUCCCGGGGGAGAUGAACAUUACUUAGAAAAGCUCCUUCCGGUUGAGUUCCUCACCAGCAGGGUUGGGAGGGGCCUGCACCUGCCCACCCGCGUCUGCGGACAAGCAGGCAGAGUGACCGUGGGGAACAACAGAAGGCAAAGGCGUCUUCCCACCACGGACCAGGCUGUGCCAUGGCGUCCACGGAGCGGUCUCGCCCGUCUCAGGCCUGACCCCGAGGAGCUCAGGGAAAGGGAGGCGAGCACCCGCUGGCGCCAGGCUGAAUUCACACGCGGAGGAAACGGCAGCUUGCGUUCACUUGUCUCUUGGGAGAGAGGCGAUGCCUUUUAUUAGACUCUCAGACUGAUCCAGGACUCAGAAAAGGUCACGAGCCACUGUUCUAGAGUAUAAAUAGAAGCAGAAGAGUUGUGAAAUAGCAUCUUCACCAAUAACCCAACUGAAACACAAACCUGCUGCCUGUGCUAGCAUACCCCCGGAACCAGUGUGAGCCCCCGGAACCAGUGUGAGCCCCCGGAACCAGUGUGAGCCCCCGGAACCAGUGUGAGCCCCCGGAACCAGUGUGAGCUCUGUGCGCGAAGGGGGGGACCAUUUCCCUGCAACUUCACGCAGCUCUUGGUCUGAAUUCCUGCACCUCCUACAAUUCUGAUCCAGAUUUAACCACUCGGCAUUUACCACAGUGAGUCUAAACUCUGGUCCUCAUUCUCAUCCUUGCAGUAUUUAAAGGCAGGUAUUAUGCUUUCCCCUCCUCCUAAUUCCUUUCACCUUCUCAAAAAAGAUCCUCACGAGAGCACAGUGUACUCUGUACGUCACCAGGUCUGCAGGGAGGGGCUGUUACUGUCCUCCUUACUGGCCCCUUGCGUGUAUUAAUGCAACCUAAAAUUUAAUUUUAUUUAACAAAUCUAUGAGUGUGAACCCGGUAUUCUAGCAUUUUAGGAAUUAAAAUCUGGCAUUUCCCCAAAUUCCUCACUACCUAGACACCAAAUAAAUGAAUAAAUGCAAGUUAAAAGAGUUUGAGAAUUUAGGAUAAGCAAAGGGAGCUGUAAUAAAUAAGGAAAUUGCUGUUUUAUUCUCACAUUCCCCAAGUCAAAAAAUAAAAUAGAUAGAAAGGAAAUAUGUACUGUCAGAUUCUGGCUGGAGAUGAGGAAGUGAGGAUUUUCACAGAAGCAAAUAAGAAAGAACUGCCCACGAGUCAUUUUGAUAUUUAGUAAUUUUUAAAAAGGAAUCUCCCCCAGGACAUCCCCCCACACACACACACACACACACACACACACGCACACACGCACGCAUUUACUUUAAAACCACCACCACCACCGUCACUGCCAUAAUAGAACAUAGUACUGAAGAACUUAAAUGUAUCAGUUUGGGGAGUAGACAGAAUUCUCUUAGCUGGGAAAUAAAAAAUAAGAGACUGACAUACUUUAUGGGCAACAAAUUUAACAAUACUGUGCCUGAAAUAAACUUUUAUCAAUAAUAAUGAUGUCUCCUAGAAAACAUAUUUUAAUUAUAAAUCAACAUACACUCAAGAUUCCGUUCAAUUAUACCUUUAACUGAACUGUCCUACCUUAUUUUUCCUUUUUUGGUAGAUUUUCUCUUUCUGCUUCUCUUUCCAUUUCUCUGGUAUGACAAGAAAUUGAAGAAUAUCACAAGUAUUUGACCACCUUUUGCUUCACGUAACUGUGCCUUGUGUGUUUUCACCAUUACAGGCAAAAAGGGAUUGGCACACAGUGUUUCCCACUGACGUCGUUUUGCUGGUGGAUUGAAUUGUUUAGUUGGCCUGUUGCCAAAAGUGUGUUCCACACCGGAAAUCUCAGUGCCAUCGCUCAGGACUGGAGCGCAGAGGAGGCCACCGUGCUCUGUGGCCGUAGCCACCUGGCAACUCCAGCGAGGACACUCACAGCAGCUCUAAGUCCUAGCAAAGCUGAGCAGUAGAAGUCUGGGCCUGGAACGGUUCUAAGACCCCAAGAAAGAAAUCCCAGUGUUGUGGGGAUGGUUCUUUUAUCCAUCAAGCCCCACCUCCACUCUGUCUCUUCAGUGGAACCUUCCAAGUAGCUAACGUGAGCCUAGCUGCCCGUUCAC
Microcebus murinus (gray mouse lemur) is the source of this 2520-nucleotide non-coding RNA. Lineage: Eukaryota; Metazoa; Chordata; Mammalia; Primates; Cheirogaleidae. The record is from RefSeq and is a predicted model, not a curated record.